AUACGGAGGAUCCGAGCGUUAUCCGGAUUUAUUGGGUUUAAAGGGUGCGCAGGCGGCCAUUUAAGUCAGCGGUUAAAUCGUGGGGCUCAACCCCAUUCUGCCGUUGAUACUGGGUGGCUUGAUUGCGGUCGAGGUUGGCGGAAUUCGUUGUGUAGCGGUGAAAUGCAUAGAUAUGACGAAGAACACCGAUUGCGUAGGCAGCUGACCAGACCGCAAAUGACGCUCAUGCACGAAAGUGCGGGGAUCGAACAGGAUUAGAUACCCUGGUAGUCCGCACAGUAAACGAUGAAUACUUGUUGUCGGCGAUAUAAUGUCGGAGGCAAAGCGAAAGCGAUAAGUAUUCCACCUGGGGAGUACGCCGGCAACGGUGAAACUCAAAUGAAUUGACGGGG
This 392-nucleotide ribosomal RNA is filed under the name uncultured bacterium. Its description in RNAcentral is "partial 16S ribosomal RNA". It matches the Rfam family "Bacterial small subunit ribosomal RNA", at positions 523 to 918 of the family's 1533-position model. The record is from RNAcentral.